GACCAUGAUGAGAAUCUGGAAUAGGAAGUGCCGUCAGAUGCGAUAACGGAUGACAACUUUCCACUCUGACU
Small nucleolar RNA from Pseudophryne corroboree (corroboree frog), 71 nucleotides. RefSeq annotates it as small nucleolar RNA SNORD49. The transcript has a single exon. The record is from RefSeq and is a predicted model, not a curated record. NCBI's taxonomy places the organism in Eukaryota, Metazoa, Chordata, Amphibia, Anura, Myobatrachidae.